This 295-nucleotide long non-coding RNA is filed under the name Numida meleagris (helmeted guineafowl). RNAcentral describes it as "lncRNA (ENSNMEG00000019157.1)". Lineage: Eukaryota; Metazoa; Chordata; Aves; Galliformes; Numididae. The record is from RNAcentral.
AAAAAAAGGAAUAACAGGACUUUGUUUUCUUGUCCCAUCUGCAUAUAAUUAGUUGUACAAUUUUAUCACUUACUUAAACAUUCAGAAGGUCAAACCUGGAAGCAUAUGAGAUACUACGUAGCAGGGAGAGUGAUUUCCUGAUGUUUGACACCUGGCUGUAAGUGUUCAUCACCUGGGCUGCAUGGAUCCAGGCACAAUAAGGAACUCCCUACUGAUUACUAGGGCUGAAGCAAUGGAGAAGACCUUGGCAAAUCUUUUACCCUAGCUUUAGAGGAGGGAGGCAUUUGCUUCAGAC